AAGUAAAAAGUAAAAAUUACAUUUAGUUUCGACCUAAAAUUAGGGAAAUAUAACCCUUUACUUA
Molecule: transfer RNA, 64 nt
Filed under: Physopelta sp.
Lineage: Eukaryota; Metazoa; Arthropoda; Insecta; Hemiptera; Largidae
Description: tRNA-Arg
Source: RNAcentral